This 228-nucleotide ribosomal RNA is filed under the name uncultured bacterium. Its description in RNAcentral is "partial 16S ribosomal RNA". It matches the Rfam family "Bacterial small subunit ribosomal RNA", at positions 524 to 748 of the family's 1533-position model. The record is from RNAcentral.
UACGUAGGGUGCAGGCGUUAAUCGGAAUUACUGGGCGUAAAGCGUGCGCAGGCGGUUUGCUAAGAGAGAUGUGAAAUCCCCCGGGCUUAACCUGGGAACUGCGUUUCUAACUGGCAGGCUUGAGUGUGGCAGAGGGGGGGUGGAAUUCCACGUGUAGCAGUGAAAUGCGUAGAGAUGUGGAGGAACACCGAUGGCGAAGGCAGCCCCCCUGGGCUAACACUGACGCUC